AGGUGCUCCUGAAGCAAUUACCUGCUGGGAGACGAAGGAGGUGCCACACUGUGGGAGCAGAGGCCACCGGUUGCCUGCUUCUAAGUGGACUCCCACCAGCUUCCCCAGCUCUUAUCUCCUCUGGGAACGGCCCCGUGUGGCCUGUCUGGAUGUCAGCGCAGACAGUUGAACCACUGGCCUUCCUGGGACCACCGGACACCUGGCAGAAAACCUAGAAGCUGCUCAUCCCCUGGGGACUUCACUCAGCCGAGAACUGUACAAGAAUGAAAAAAAAAAAAGCAUGGCAUUUAUCAUCAAGAAAGAAGGCUGUGUCUGGCAGUGGCAUUGUCUCGGUAACAAAGAGAAAACUUCCAAAGGGAGAAUCUCUUCCAAAAGGAGACUUGAAGAGUCCAUUGGUCUCUGCAGCCAUGUCCUACCAAGAGAGGCAGUAACAGAACUGACGAAUGGCAUCAGAUAUCCAGCGUUGUGACACUCCCACCCCUUCACAUUCACGUCAGCACCUUAGAGUCCUGCUCAGUGUGAAACGUCCAAUUGCCUGCGCUAAGGAAGAAGUAAAGAGCACCAGAAACAAUAGAAAGUGGCAAGAAAGAAUUUGGGUCAUGGGAAACAGUAGUAAAAAACAAAAUAAUAUUGGAACUCAGGGUGGCGAAACUGGAAACUCACUAGCCAGAUUGUGAAGUGUGAAGGUUGAGAUACUCGAGGCAUGGAAGGUGUUUGAAUAUUCUUUUGCAAAAGCACUACAGAAGCCAUUCAGUAGAAGGGACUCAGUGCCCCAGAGACUGCAGUGGGAGUAGGGAUUUGCUCUGACUUCCCCGUUGAAUUCAGUCUGAAGUUUUGGCCAGGGAAAAUGAAGAAUUCAGAGUAGAAAUGGACUAAGUCUGUUUCAUAUUCAGCAGGGGUUAGUAGUCAGAAAGGUAAGUCAAGGUGCUAAAGCUGCUAAAGGUGCGGAGGUGGUCCAUGAUGUCCCCUUGGGUGGGGAAAUCUGAGCACAGGCAAAGGCUGAGCAAUCAGGGGUGGCGGUCCUGGGAUUUCUGCCUGCUGAGAACUAAAACAUGGGGUUCUUGCCAGCUAGAGGCUCUGACUCACAGAAAUUUGAGCGUUCAUGUGAGCUAUUGCCAGGCAGAAAGGAUUAUAUACGCACUCAGAAGGGUUUAGUGUGUGAUGUGUUAAUCUCGAUAUUGGGGAUUGGGCUGAAAUUGGGUUGAAUCUGCUAGAAAACGUUCCCAAACAUGCCACAUCUGUUCCAGGGGAUAAGCUGUCAUCCAGUGAGGACAGCCAUGUUUAUGGAACUCCCCACGUGCAGAUUUCUGAGACAUGUAAAAACGGGGUAUGCCUCUGAUCCCCUAGAUGCUUCCAGUCAAAUGACGCCUCCAAGGAGGAAAUGGACCUGCUGUCCCACCAGGACUGUGACAAAGGGGAGCAGGUGAAGAGUGGGGGCUGGGGGCAAGGAUCAAGUCCUACAGGAUCUUUGUCAGUCUGGGGAUAUAUCUUAUUAAUUAAAAAAUAUUUAUUUAUUUAUGCACACAGA
This is a long non-coding RNA of Condylura cristata (star-nosed mole), 1528 nucleotides long. RefSeq lists it as uncharacterized. The transcript is spliced from 5 exons. The record is from RefSeq and is a predicted model, not a curated record. NCBI's taxonomy places the organism in Eukaryota, Metazoa, Chordata, Mammalia, Eulipotyphla, Talpidae.